CAAAAAUAAUUUCGUUGGAAAACGGCAUUUAGGCUUAUUCAAGGAGGUGACUGACCGAAUCUGUUUACCUCGAAAAGAAGUCUAGUGGGUGUUCGCCAAUGCAACUCAUUUGAACUCCCACAAAAAGGCAGCCCUUAGAUCUCUUAUAAGAGAAGCAAAUACACAUUGUAAUACAGUUCAAGCCUAUGAAGAAGAAAUUAGAAACUUAAUGCAGAUAGCAAUAAACCACGGUUACAAAAGGUCGCUUGUUAGAAAGUUAAAAACGGAGAUAGAGAAUAAAAACUAUGGAAGAGGGGCUCAACAAGGAAGCACAAGGACCCCACCAGCUCCACCGCAAGAUAUAACAGUAGAGCAGAGUACGAGCUAUGAACCUAUCCCAACGGAACUCGGAGGUUUGAAGACAGUGAAAAGGAUUCUGAAUAAAAAGAGCAAGAAACCUGCUUUUAAAAGGCCUCCCCACCGUUUAUGACAUUUUACUGAAUCCGAAAGAUCCUAGGAGAAGGGGAGAGAAGAGUGGAAUAUAUGAGAUACCUUUAACUGAUGUGGAUACUGGUACUCAAGGAAUAUAAGUGGGAGCAAUACAAAGGAAUCUUCAAGAUAGAAUAGAGGAACACAAAAGGAACAUCAGAACAGCCAACCUAGGGACAGCUCUUGCAAAAACAGUGUAUGAAAG
This 673-nucleotide long non-coding RNA is filed under the name Androctonus crassicauda. The record is from RNAcentral. Lineage: Eukaryota; Metazoa; Arthropoda; Arachnida; Scorpiones; Buthidae.